This is a non-coding RNA of Paramuricea clavata, 423 nucleotides long. The record is from the annotation of a GenBank genome assembly. Lineage: Eukaryota; Metazoa; Cnidaria; Anthozoa; Malacalcyonacea; Plexauridae.
CGAGGCAAUACAUGAGAAUGAGCAGGGCGCUAUAAAACACGUGUUUUAAAACACUGGUGCUAUAAAACACGCUAUGCUACAUGUUUUAUAGCGCCCUGGAUUGAGUUAAUGCAUAAAAGCCUCCAAGAAAAAAAGAAAAAAGCCACUUAUUAUAACAACACGUAAAAAGAAAAAAUCAAGGAAGAAAAAUAAAAAUAAAAAGCAAACAUCUAUAUCGUCCUUCGUCAACAGUCAACCUUCUGGUUCGCCAUGGUCCAUGUACUGUAGAGUCACACAGCAGUUCUUGAUGUACUAUUUAAAAAACGAGCAGGAGUGUUUUAUUAUAGGUUUAAAGCCACGAGCGCGCAGCGCGAGUGGCUUUAGACCUAAUAAAACACGACCCGCGAGUUUUUUAAAUGACUUCAAAAACGUAUGCGUAAUAAG